UACAGAGGUCCCAAGCGUUGUUCGGAUUUACUGGGCGUAAAGGGUGCGUAGGUGGUCGGGUAAGUCUCAUGUGAAAUCUCCAAGCUCAACUUGGAAAUGGCAUGGGAUACUAUUCGGCUAGAGGAUUGGAGGGGGGACUGGAAUUCCCGGUGUAGCAGUGAAAUGCGUAGAUAUCUGGAGGAACACCGGUGGCGAAGGCGGCGUUCUGGACUGCAACUGACACUGAGGAACGAAAGCCAGGGGAGCAAACGGG
This 253-nucleotide ribosomal RNA is filed under the name uncultured bacterium. RNAcentral describes it as "partial 16S ribosomal RNA". It matches the Rfam family "Bacterial small subunit ribosomal RNA", at positions 524 to 776 of the family's 1533-position model. The record is from RNAcentral.